GCGCCCGUAGCUCAGUUGGAUAGAGCGACCGCCUCCUAAGCGGUAGGCCGGAGGUUCGACUCCUCUCGGGCGUG
RNAcentral lists this transfer RNA (74 nucleotides) under Intestinimonas butyriciproducens. RNAcentral describes it as "tRNA-Arg". It matches the Rfam family "tRNA". Rfam says of the family: Transfer RNA (tRNA) molecules are approximately 80 nucleotides in length. The record is from RNAcentral. Lineage: Bacteria; Bacillati; Bacillota; Clostridia; Eubacteriales.